CAGUAGCCACGGGAAUACGUAGGCGGCAAGCGUUGUCCGGAAUUAUUGGGCGUAAAGGGAGCGCAGGUGGGACGGUAAGUCCGUCUUAAAAGGCAGGGGCUCAGCCCCUGUAAGGGAUGGAAACUAUCGAUCUUGAGUGCCGGAGAGGAAAGCGGAAUUCCCAGUGUAGCGGUGAAAUGCGUAGAUAUUGGGAAGAACACCAGUGGCGAAGGCGGCCUUCUGGACGGCAACUGACACUGAGGCUCGAAAGCCAGGGGAGCGAACGGGAUUAGAUACCCCUGUAGUCCUGUCUCUUAUACAC
Molecule: ribosomal RNA, 301 nt
Filed under: uncultured bacterium
Lineage: Bacteria
Description: partial 16S ribosomal RNA
Rfam family: Bacterial small subunit ribosomal RNA
Source: RNAcentral